RNAcentral lists this ribosomal RNA (221 nucleotides) under uncultured bacterium. Its description in RNAcentral is "partial 16S ribosomal RNA". It matches the Rfam family "Bacterial small subunit ribosomal RNA", at positions 114 to 334 of the family's 1533-position model. The record is from RNAcentral.
CGCGUAAAGAACUUGCCUCACAGAUAGGGACAACAUUUGGAAACGAAUGCUAAUACCUGAUAUUAUGAUUUUAGGGCAUCCUAGAAUUAUGAAAGCUAUAUGCGCUGUGAGAGAGCUUUGCGUCCCAUUAGCUAGUUGGAGAGGUAACGGCUCACCAAGGCGAUGAUGGGUAGCCGGCCUGAGAGGGUGAACGGCCACAUUGGGACUGAGACACGGCCCAA